This 497-nucleotide ribosomal RNA is filed under the name uncultured bacterium. RNAcentral describes it as "partial 16S ribosomal RNA". It matches the Rfam family "Bacterial small subunit ribosomal RNA", at positions 28 to 507 of the family's 1533-position model. The record is from RNAcentral.
GACGAACGCUGGCGGCGUGCCUAAUACAUGCAAGUCGAGCGCUCAAGGUUGGUGCUUGUUCCGCUUGGAUGAGCAGCGGACGGGUGAGUAACGCGUGGGUAAUCUACCUUUGAGCGGGGGACAACUUUUGGAAACGAAUGCUAAUACCGCAUAAUAUCUUUAAACACAAGUUUUAAGUGUGAAAGAUGCAAUUGCAUCACUCAAAGGUGAUCUCGCGUUGUAUUAGCCAGUUUGUGAGGUAAAGGCUCACCAAGGCGAUGAAACAUAGCCGACCUGAGAGGGUGGUUGGCCACAAUGGGAAUGAGAAACGGCCCAAAAUCCCAAGGGAAGGAGCAGUAAGGAAUCUUCGGGAAUGGACGAAAGUCCUGACGAAGAAAGCCGGGUGAGGGAAGGAGGGUCUCGGAUCGUAAAACUCUGUUGGUAGGGAAAAAAGAAGGGGAGAGUGGAAAGUGCAUCAAGUGACGGUAACUAAUCAGAAAGAGACGGCUAACUACGUG